AUUGAACGCUGGCGGCAGGCCUAACACAUGCAAGUCGAACGAGUGGCGGACGGGUGAGUAAUGUCUGGGAAACUGCCUGAUGGAGGGGGAUAACUACUGGAAACGGUAGCUAAUACCGCAUACCAUCAGAUGUGCCCAGAUGGGAUUAGCUUGUUGGUGGGGUAACGGCUCACCAAGGCGACGAUCCCUAGCUGGUCUGAGAGGAUGACCAGCCACACUGGAACUGAGACACGGCCCAGACUCCUACGGGAGGCAGCAGUAGGGAAUCUUGGGCAAUGGGCGCAAGUCUGACCCAGCAACGCCGCGUGUGUGAAGAAGGUUUUCGGAUCGUAAAACUCUGUCGUUAGGGAAGCGGUACCUAAACAGAAAGCCACGGCUAACUACGUGCCAGCAGCCGCGGUAAUUC
This 406-nucleotide ribosomal RNA is filed under the name uncultured bacterium. RNAcentral describes it as "partial 16S ribosomal RNA". It matches the Rfam family "Bacterial small subunit ribosomal RNA", at positions 30 to 526 of the family's 1533-position model. The record is from RNAcentral.